This 341-nucleotide ribosomal RNA is filed under the name uncultured Methanobrevibacter sp. RNAcentral describes it as "bacterial SSU rRNA". It matches the Rfam family "Archaeal small subunit ribosomal RNA", at positions 347 to 688 of the family's 1478-position model. The record is from RNAcentral. Lineage: Archaea; Methanobacteriati; Methanobacteriota; Methanobacteria; Methanobacteriales; Methanobacteriaceae.
ACUCCGCAAUUCGCGAAAGCGUGACGGGGGAACUCCAAGUGCUGCAGCGUUAGCUGUAGCUUUUGUUUAGCGUAAAUAACUAUUCGAAUAAGAGCUGGGUAAGACCGGUGCCAGCCGCCGCGGUAACACCGGCAGCUCGAGUGGUGACCAUUAUUAUUGGGCCUAAAGCGUCCGUAGCCGGUCUGAUAAGUCCUUGGGUAAAUCCUGACGCUUAACGUUAGGAAUUCUAGGGAUACUGUCAGACUUGAGGCCGAGAGAAGUCAGAGGUACUCGUUGGGGUAGCGGUGAAAUGCUGUAAUCCUGGAGGGACCACCAGUGGCGAAGGCGUCUGACUAGAGCGG